CGGUGUAUUGGCCUUCUUCGUUUCUUACGACCUGGCGCGGCGCGAAGCAGCCGACUUUCUCGACGGUCAGUUACGUCAGAUCGCGCUCAACGCAGGCAUCGGCCUCGCCAAUGCCGAAGCGCCUGGCGCGAAGCACGAUCCGGAGGAUGAAUUCGUCAUCGCGAUCUGGAAUCCAGCUGGCGAAGCGAUGCGAAAUUCGCCGAGCGGC
RNAcentral lists this unclassified non-coding RNA (208 nucleotides) under Hevea brasiliensis (rubber tree). Lineage: Eukaryota; Viridiplantae; Streptophyta; Magnoliopsida; Malpighiales; Euphorbiaceae. The record is from RNAcentral.